GUCCAACAGCUUUUGUCCCUCAACAGCAGAUGCAUAUUUCUCCUCCAUCUCCUUGACUUUAGACUACCUGAAAACAGACAUACAUAAUGGUCACAUUUGUACAUGUGAAUCUAUAUAUAUAAAUAGUAUAAUACUAAUGAAAAAAAAUCACGUAAAAUUGAUGUUUCAAAAUAGAUCCAAGCAACAAUAUCCAUGAUCAUCCUCAAUCAGUAAAGAAUAAAUGAGUAAUGACAUAGUCACAUAGUGUUAGAGAAUGUAGUGUUACUAGAUAAGCUACGCAUUUAAUUCAAAGAGUUAUCUGAAUUUAUGUUGGGGCUAUAAUCCUUGAAAUGAAGCAUAACUCAUAUGCUUAGUGUUACAAUUUGUAAAUUGGGAUGAAUAACACAUAGGAGGGAAAGGUGAUGGUGCGUGCAAUGCAAUGACCUUGCUGGGUGCCUUUGUGUGUAAACACUAUACCAAAGCCAAUAUCAGAAUUGGUGGUGUAAAAUGGUACUGACAAAGCCAAAAGGUGAACAACUCUAGUUAAUAGAGUUGGGAAAUUGUUAUUUUGUCUUUGAUGGUAAAAUACUCUAAAAAUCGGCAGUCUGACAUACAUUCUCUAAAGCUCCAAGAGUCCAAGACUACUACAAUUGGCUUAAUUAAACAAGUUCAUAAAGUAUUGAAUGAUUGAAUCUAUAUUAGCUAAAUGUGUGCUAAUACAAAAUCUUCUUACUGAUUCAUGAAAACUAUAGAACAAAAUACUAUAUAUGAUGAUGACUUACUGAUUCAUGAAAAAUUAUAUCUUCAAUAAUCAAUACUAUAUUACUCUUGAUAAGGAAAAAAAAAAAAUGUUACAGAAACCUUUAGCUUGUAAGCUUCAUGAAUAUCAACAAACAGUCAGACAUAUUUUAAUUUAACGAAAAAUAAUAAAACAUAGUAAUACUAAUUACUAAAUAAAUCUAACCUUUGAUCUUUAGCUCCAAAGAAUUCUAUUGAUAGAACUUUCUUCUUCUUUGUCGAUUGGAUCGAGAAAUGUCUCUUCGUAUCCCUUCCUUUACUCUGUUUUUCUCUACUUCUCUUAUAUAGAGCGAUCUCAAAUGCGAAUACCACUUACGUGGAAUCUUAUUUACUUGACACGUGGUGUGAUCCAUAAAGAAUUCUAGGUGAAAUGAUGGAUUCUCUCGAGAGCGACCGCGUUGUUAACGCGUACGUGUUGCUG
This 1198-nucleotide long non-coding RNA is filed under the name Aquilegia coerulea. RNAcentral's name for it is "long non-coding RNA (ACOE_LNC000835)". Lineage: Eukaryota; Viridiplantae; Streptophyta; Magnoliopsida; Ranunculales; Ranunculaceae. The record is from RNAcentral.